Molecule: non-coding RNA, 72 nt
Organism: Bos taurus (domestic cattle)
Lineage: Eukaryota; Metazoa; Chordata; Mammalia; Artiodactyla; Bovidae
Source: Rfam
UCCCUGGUGGCUCAGAGGUUAAAGAAUCUGCCUGCAAUGCAGGAGACACAGGUUCUAUUCCUGGGUUGGGAA